This 341-nucleotide RNase P RNA is filed under the name Brevinema andersonii. Its description in RNAcentral is "Bacterial RNase P class A". It matches the Rfam family "Bacterial RNase P class A". Rfam says of the family: Ribonuclease P (RNase P) is a ubiquitous endoribonuclease, found in archaea, bacteria and eukarya as well as chloroplasts and mitochondria. Lineage: Bacteria; Pseudomonadati; Spirochaetota; Spirochaetia; Brevinematales; Brevinemataceae. The record is from RNAcentral.
UAGUAUUGUGAGAAAACGCUCAAAAAGAGAGGAAAGUCCGAACCUUAAAAAACCAAGAAGCGGUUAAGAGCCGCCCAUACAUUAUGUAUGAGGGAAAGUGUCACAGAAAAUAAACAGCUGUUAAAGCAAUGGUGAAAAGGUGGAGUAAGAGCCCACCGCUUUCUUCAUAAGGAGAAAGGCAUGACAAACCCUUCUUAAGGCAAGGUCAAGUAGGUAUUGAUAUUACUGGUUUUGUAAUUAAGUACGGGUAGACCGCAAAGAAUUUAUCGGUAACGAUAAAUCAAGAUAGAUGUUUUCAGAUCGAUAGAUCACAGAAUUCGGCUUAUGAUCAAUGCUACUGU